This 254-nucleotide unclassified non-coding RNA is filed under the name uncultured Alphaproteobacteria bacterium. Its description in RNAcentral is "contains 16S-23S intergenic spacer region". It matches the Rfam family "Bacterial small subunit ribosomal RNA", at positions 524 to 776 of the family's 1533-position model. The record is from RNAcentral. Lineage: Bacteria; Pseudomonadati; Pseudomonadota; Alphaproteobacteria.
UACGGAGGGGGCAAGCGGUGUUCGGAAUCACUGGGCGUAACGCGCACGUAGGAGAUGUAUCGAGUCAGAGGUGUAAGGCCUGGGCUCAACCUGGGAACUGCCUUUGAGACUGGUACGCUUGAGUCCGGGAGAGGGUAGUGGAAUUCCCAGUGUAGAGGUGAAAUUCGUAGAUAUUGGGAAGAACACCGGUGGCGAAGGCGGCUACCUGGCCCGGUUACUGACGCUGAGGUGCGAAAGCGUGGGGAGCGAACAGG